UUGCAGGCUGCAACUCGCCUGCAUGAAGUUGGAAUUGCUAGUAAUCGCGGAUCAGAAUGCCGCGGUGAAUACGUUCCCGGGUCUUGUACACACCGCCCGUCACACCAUGGGAGUCGGUAACGCCCGAAGUCCGUAGCCUAACCGCAAGGGGGGCGCGGCCGAAGGUGGGUUCGAUAAUUGGGGUGAAGUCGUAACAAGGUAUC
RNAcentral lists this ribosomal RNA (203 nucleotides) under uncultured bacterium. Its description in RNAcentral is "partial 16S ribosomal RNA". It matches the Rfam family "Bacterial small subunit ribosomal RNA", at positions 1298 to 1500 of the family's 1533-position model. The record is from RNAcentral.